GGCAGCAGUAGGGAAUAUUGCGCAAUGGACGGAAGUCUGACGCAGCGACGCCGCGUGAGCGAUGAAGGUCUUCGGAUCGUAAAGCUCUGUCCUUGGGGAAGAAGGCGAAAGCUUGACGGUACCCAAGAAGAAAGCCCCGGCUAACUACGUGCCAGCAGCCGCGGUAAUACGUAGGGGGCGAGCGUUGUCCGGAAUUACUGGGCGUAAAGAGCACGUAGGCGGGUGUUUAAGUCAGGUGUGAAAGACCGCAGCCUAACUGCGGGGUUGCACUUGAAACUGAACAUCUUGAGGGCAGGAGAGGUCAGUGGAAUUCCUGGUGUAGCGGUGAAAUGCGUAGAAAUCAGGAGGAACACCAGUGGCGAAGGCGACUGACUGGACUGACCCUGACGCUGAGGUGCGAAAGCGUGGGUAGCAAACAGGAUUAGAUACCCCUGUAGUC
Molecule: ribosomal RNA, 439 nt
Filed under: uncultured bacterium
Lineage: Bacteria
Description: bacterial SSU rRNA
Rfam family: Bacterial small subunit ribosomal RNA
Source: RNAcentral